RNAcentral lists this ribosomal RNA (575 nucleotides) under Aspergillus niveoglaucus. RNAcentral's name for it is "eukaryotic LSU rRNA". It matches the Rfam family "Eukaryotic large subunit ribosomal RNA", at positions 58 to 648 of the family's 3401-position model. The record is from RNAcentral. Lineage: Eukaryota; Fungi; Ascomycota; Eurotiomycetes; Eurotiales; Aspergillaceae. RNAcentral also lists the same sequence under 1 other name.
AAAGAAACCAACAGGGAUUGCCUCAGUAACGGCGAGUGAAGCGGCAAGAGCUCAAAUUUGAAAUCUGGCUCCUUCGGGGUCCGAGUUGUAAUUUGUAGAGGAUGCUUCGGGUGCGGCCCCCGUCUAAGUGCUCUGGAACGGGCCAUCGGAGAGGGUGAAAAUCCCGUCUGGGACGGGGUGUCCGCGUCCAUGUGAAGCUCCUUCGACGAGUCGAGUUGUUUGGGAAUGCAGCUCUAAAUGGGUGGUAAAUUUCAUCUAAAGCUAAAUACUGGCCGGAGACCGAUAGCGCACAAGUAGAGUGAUCGAAAGAUGAAAAGCACUUUGAAAAGAGAGUUAAACAGCACGUGAAAUUGUUGAAAGGGAAGCGCUUGCGACCAGACUCGCUUCCGGGGUUCAGCCGGCUUUCGGGCCGGUGUACUUCCCCGGGGGCGGGCCAGCGUCGGUUUGGGCGGCCGGUCAAAGGCCCCUGGAAUGUAACGCCCCUCGGGGCGCCUUAUAGCCAGGGGUGUCAUGCGGCCAGCCUGGACCGAGGAACGCGCUUCGGCACGGACGCUGGCAUAAUGGUCGUAAACGAC